Amphimedon queenslandica is the source of this 333-nucleotide long non-coding RNA. RefSeq lists it as uncharacterized. The record is from RefSeq and is a predicted model, not a curated record. NCBI's taxonomy places the organism in Eukaryota, Metazoa, Porifera, Demospongiae, Haplosclerida, Niphatidae. The transcript is spliced from 4 exons.
UUGUUAAAGAUUAGAAGUUUAUCAUUUUGAAUUUUACCAUGCAGUAAAGAAGCUCCAAGAAGAAAAGAAUGAAUUAGGUCAACAGUAUGCAGCAAAAAUAGAUGUAUUGGAAGAAGUACAGAAAGAGGAGAGAGAUACUCUGACACUUAAACUAUCACAACUAGAGAUUGGUUUGAGGGAAAUAGAGACACAAUGGAAAGAGAAGUAUUGUGGGGACAUUGAAUUGGAGCAACAAGAACUGUACGAUGAGAAUCAAAUGCUUAAAUUAUCAGUAGCAGAGAAAGAAACAGAAUUAUUACAGUCACAAGAUUCUCUACUUGAGUUAAGGCAGUG